AGCAGCCGCGGUAAUUCCAGCUCCAAUAGCGUAUAUUAAAGUUGUUGCAGUUAAAAAGCUCGUAGUUGAACUUCGGGAUCAAUUAGUUGGUCAUGCCUUGGUAUGUACUGAUUUUAUUGGUUCUCACCUUCUAAAGAACUAUAAUGUCAUUUAUUUGAUGUUAUAGGGAAUUAGGACUGUUACCUUGAAAAAAUUAGAGUGUUUAAAGCAGGCUCACGCUUGAAUACAUUAGCAUGGAAUAAUGAAAUAGGACAUCGCAUUCUAUUUUGUUGGUUUCUAGGAUCGAUGUAAUGAUUAAUAGGGAUAGUUGGGGGCAUUAGUAUUCAAUUGUCAGAGGUGAAAUUCUUGGAUUUAUUGAAGACUAACUACUGCGAAAGCAUUUGCCAAGGAUGUUUUCAUUAAUCAAGAACGAAAGUUAGGGGAUCGAAGACGAUCAGAUACCGUCGUAGUCUUAACCAUAAACUAUGCCGACUAGGGAUCGGAUGAUGUUGAUUUUUAAUGA
Molecule: ribosomal RNA, 502 nt
Filed under: uncultured Glomus
Lineage: Eukaryota; Fungi; Glomeromycota; Glomeromycetes; Glomerales; Glomeraceae
Description: SSU rRNA
Rfam family: Eukaryotic small subunit ribosomal RNA
Source: RNAcentral